RNAcentral lists this ribosomal RNA (496 nucleotides) under uncultured bacterium. RNAcentral's name for it is "partial 16S ribosomal RNA". It matches the Rfam family "Bacterial small subunit ribosomal RNA", at positions 29 to 507 of the family's 1533-position model. The record is from RNAcentral.
AUGAACGCUGGCGGCGUGCCUCAUACAUGCCAGUCGCGCGAACAGACGAGGAGCUUGCUCCUUCGACGUUAGCGGCGGACGGGUGAGUAACACGUAGGUAACCUACCUAUAAGACUGGGAUAACUUCGGGAAACCGGAGCUAAUACCGGAUAAUAUUUCGAACCGCAUGGUUCGAUAGUGAAAGAUGGCUUUGCUAUCACUUAUAGAUGGACCUGCGCCGUAUUAGCUAGUUGGUAAGGUAACGGCUUACCAAGGCAACGAUACGUAGCCGACCUGAGAGGGUGAUCGGCCACACUGGAACUGAGACACGGUCCAGACUCCUACGGGAGGCAGCAGUAGGGAAUCUUCCGCAAUGGGCGAAAGCCUGACGGAGCAACGCCGCGUGAGUGAUGAAGGUCUUCGGAUCGUAAAACUCUGUUAUUAGGGAAGAACAAACGUGUAAGUAACUGUGCACGUCUUGACGGUACCUAAUCAGAAAGCCACGGCUAACUACGUG